RNAcentral lists this long non-coding RNA (1300 nucleotides) under Astyanax mexicanus (Mexican tetra). Its description in RNAcentral is "lncRNA (ENSAMXG00005001480.1)". Lineage: Eukaryota; Metazoa; Chordata; Actinopteri; Characiformes; Acestrorhamphidae. The record is from RNAcentral.
GUUAGUAACUACAGAAUCCCGCCAACAUUUGAUGAAGGGAAACCGUAUGAAAGUUGGAAGAAUGAAGUCGCUAUCUGGACUAGAGUCACGGAGCUGGAGAAGAGUAAGCAGGCGCUUGCAGUGGCUUUGGCGCUGUCUGGAAGAGCGAGGGAGACCGCGAUGGAAAUACCGGUAGAUGACUUGAAUAAAGACACUGGCAUGAAUACUUUGCUCGCGAAACUCGAUGAUUUGUUUCUCAAGGAAGAAAAGGACAGAAUAUACGAGGCAUACUCAAGUUUUGACCGGAUUGUCAGAGACAGUAGUUCGUCUAUGACGGACUAUAUUAUUGACUUUGAGCAGCGCUACUCACGAAUGCGAAAAUACAAGAUGGAUCUUCCCGACGCAGUGUUAGCAUUCAAGUUGCUAGACACAGCGUGCUUAGACAUAAAAGAUAGACAGUUGGCUUUGACUGCAUGCACAGAAUUGACGUUUGCAUCAAUGAAAUCAGCACUGAAGAGAAUAUUUGGUGGAAAGCCAUCUGCAGUGACAGUGGGAAUUAACCAGGAAACUGCAUAUGUAACAGAGCAAAGACGGCAGAAGGGAAAAUCCUGGUCGCAAAAUGAUCAAAAGACACCACUGCCAGGCACAAAUCCUCUGGACAGGUACGGUCGGAGAUCUAAAUGUGCAGUUUGCCAAAGCACAUACCACUGGGCCAAGGACUGUCCACACAGAAGUGAGCAAAUCAAAGUAACUGAAGAUUGUAAAACAAAUGAUGUAGAUGAGUGCAACAUUGCUCUGUAUUCAAAAGAAUCACUCACAGAGGCAGAAAUCUUCAUGACAGAGUGUUUUGGUUCAGCUAUAAUUGAUACUGCAUGCACUCGUACUGUGUGUGGUCAGGAAUGGCUAAAUAGCUAUGUCACUGAAUUAAGUCAAAAUAAGAUAAGACAUCUGAUGAAGACAGAGACAAGCAGUCAUAGACCCUUUAGAUUUGGGGAUGGAAGAGUAGUCUACUCCACCAAAAAGGUGAAAAUUCCUGCUAAAAUUGGACAGACAGAGUGUCACAUUGAAACUGAAGUUGUCCCAGCAAAUAUUCCACUACUUCUGAGUAAAGCAUCAAUGAAAAGAGCAGGGACAGUGCUGGAUAUGGAAAAUGACAGUGCAAUGAUGUUCAAUCAUCCUGUAAAACUUGACUUUACAAGCUCUGGUCAUUACUGUGUGAACAUUAUGGACAAAGGUGAAAAUAGCGUUCAAGUUGAUGGUGUCUUGACAACUGCCGAAAAUGUCACUUUAGAAGAACAAAAGAAGGAAGGUCUGGAAUCUC